AUACGUAGGAUGCGAGCGUUAUCCGGAUUUAUUGGGUUUAAAGGGUGCGUAGGCUGUUUUUCAAAUCAGGGGUGAAAUGCCGGGGCUCAACUCCGGAGCUGCCUUUGAUACUGGGAGGCUGGAAUACUGUUGCCGUGGGAGGAAUGAGUAGUGUAGCGGUGAAAUGCAUAGAUAUUACUCAGAACACCGAUUGCGAAGGCAUCUCACGAAGGGUUGAUUGACGCUGAGGCACGAAAGCGUGGGGAUCAAACAGGAUUAGAUACCCUGGUAGUCCACGCAGUAAACGAUGAUGGCUAACCGCUGGGCUUAUCAGUUCAGUGGCCAAGCGAAAGCGAUAAGCCAUCCACCUGGGGAGUACGACCGCAAGGUUGAAACUCAAAUGAAUUGGCGGGG
RNAcentral lists this ribosomal RNA (393 nucleotides) under uncultured bacterium. RNAcentral's name for it is "partial 16S ribosomal RNA". It matches the Rfam family "Bacterial small subunit ribosomal RNA", at positions 523 to 918 of the family's 1533-position model. The record is from RNAcentral.